RNAcentral lists this transfer RNA (72 nucleotides) under Microcaldota archaeon. RNAcentral describes it as "Candidatus Micrarchaeota archaeon (hot springs metagenome) tRNA-Gln". It matches the Rfam family "tRNA". From Rfam's summary of the family: Transfer RNA (tRNA) molecules are approximately 80 nucleotides in length. The record is from RNAcentral. RNAcentral also lists the same sequence under 1 other name. Lineage: Archaea; Nanobdellati; Microcaldota.
AGCCCCGUCGUCUAGCGGCAAGGACAUCGGGCUUUGGACCCGAAAACGGCAGUUCGAAUCUGCCCGGGGCUA